Molecule: unclassified non-coding RNA, 247 nt
Filed under: Hevea brasiliensis (rubber tree)
Lineage: Eukaryota; Viridiplantae; Streptophyta; Magnoliopsida; Malpighiales; Euphorbiaceae
Source: RNAcentral
GGCGGGCAGAGCCGCCGCUGGCGGCGUCAAGGGAGACAGUCUUUUGGUGGUGUGUGAACUCGAGCCCGACCUCCGUCUUCUGCACGUUGGUGAGUGAGGGGUCGGGAUCACGUGGGCAGAGAAAGCACUUCACCUUGCUGCCCUCGAAGAAUUUGAAUGUCUCGGUGUCGUGGGUCUUCAUCAACCCGGCAUUUCCGAGGAGGGAGAGGGACGUGCGAUCCUGCCACGGCAUGACGAGGACAGUGAC